GUCACUAUAAUUUAACUAAAAUACUAGAAUGUGAACCUAGAAAUAGAAGCUAAUCUCUUCUUAGUGACC
Molecule: transfer RNA, 69 nt
Filed under: Saproscincus basiliscus
Lineage: Eukaryota; Metazoa; Chordata; Lepidosauria; Squamata; Scincidae
Description: tRNA-His
Source: RNAcentral